AUGUGGUUUAAUUCGAAGCAACGCGAAGAACCUUACCAGGGCUUGACAUCCCGGCGACCGGUGUAGAGAUACACUUUCUUCUUCGGAAGCGCCGGUGACAGGUGGUGCAUGGUUGUCGUCAGCUCGUGUCGUGAGAUGUUGGGUUAAGUCCCGCAACGAGCGCAACCCUUAUUGUUAGUUGCUACGCAAGAGCACUCUAGCGAGACUGCCG
RNAcentral lists this ribosomal RNA (211 nucleotides) under uncultured Eubacteriales bacterium. RNAcentral describes it as "uncultured Clostridiales bacterium partial 16S ribosomal RNA". It matches the Rfam family "Bacterial small subunit ribosomal RNA", at positions 939 to 1154 of the family's 1533-position model. Lineage: Bacteria; Bacillati; Bacillota; Clostridia; Eubacteriales. The record is from RNAcentral.